ACUUAAUUCAAUUUACUGUUUGGUAAGAAGAUACAUGCUGGACUAGAUGACCUCCAGGGUCCCUUCCAACUCUGUUACGUUACUUCAAGAGAGGCUGCUUAUCUUUUGUAGUCUGGUUAACAAUGAUGGUCCAUAUCUCAAAAUUCUGCCCUCUGCUGGAUGGAAUUAGAAAUGUUAAAUUAGAUUAUGAAUAUUUGUGAUUGGGAGCUGAGGGCUGACUGCUUUAAAGCAAGAGUUCAUGAUCUAUUUUGUUCUAGUCAAGUUUUCCUUAUAUACUGUUUCUUCUGUUUGCAUAUCUAAUACCUAUUUAGUUAUUGUCAGCUGUCUUUUCCCAUUACUUGUAUUAUGGAUCAUUUCCGCAGCACUUCAACAUUCUCCUUCUAUUUUCUCUAUAGUUUUCAUACAAGAAAUUUGUAAAAGAAAAUAUUUUUGAGAUGUAAUCUAUGAAAGGAAAGACAGCUCACUCAAUAUUAAACAUCGUUUGGUAUAGUUGAUGCAACAAUAGUCUCUGUGGCUGACUUGACCAGCCAUAUAAAUCUAUUUAAUAUAUAAAUCAAAAAAAUCAUUUAAAAAAUAACCAAAAAAUUCUCCAUAUUUGAGGCUUCUUGCAAGAGUGAUACCAUUUGACAAUCCAGAGAACCCCUAGACAUCAAUGUCUACUUGAUGACUGUCACCACUGCCCUGGUCCUUAUCUUGUAAUAAUCUGGUAGCCCUGGUAUUAUCACAGACAUGGAAGAGAUUGAGAUUUUCAAUGGCAAAUAGGUCAGCCUUCCCUCAUCCUGGUGGUACCAAGUGGAUCAAGCAAUAGCUUUGCUGGCCUAAGAAUUCAGGGACCUGAGACUGAGUCAUAUAGUCUGCAGGGCAUCCUCUUAGGAAAAAGCUGCAUCAGACCUAAAGAGCAUCCACUAACCCCUAUGGAAUGGUAGAGGGCUGUUCUCUUUUAUCAGUUUUGCUGAUGCUUUAUUAUUACAUGAAGGAACGGUAGCCGGUUUUGUUACUGGUAUCAGAUCACAUAAUUAACACACUGUGGUGUUUGAAUUGGCUUUUAAAGAGCACUCUUUGCAUUCUUGAUGCAAGAUUAGGAUGGUGAUUUUCCUGAGGUCUCAGCAUUUCUUUUCUUUACUGUCCUGCAUUUCCCCUUUUCCUCCAAGAAUGGGUAUAUAUAUCUAUCAGGUUAAUGUCUAUGGAGAUUCUCAGUCAUCCAGGUCAUGGUUGAGGACAUCUAAUGUUUCCUGUAUUUCCUGAAGCCAACUAUUAUCCACAGUUUUGCUCUUUUGGAUGCCACAAGCCUUUCACGCAAUAUAUACUAGCGAACAUUGAUUUGAUUUGAACAACACACUAAGCUACAAAGUAGAAAAUCAUUUCAGGGUUCGCUGCAGAGUCUAAACGUGUUUCUAUUAUUUUGACCGCAAGACUGUAAGAUUGUUCCUCAUCCGGAACCCGGUUUGGAAGUUAUCAGUGAGAACUUAGAAAAACUUCGGACCACGUCGAAAGUCCAUUCAGUUGGAAUUCGGUUCAAAUCGUAGGAACUUCCAAAAUCGCUUUUCGCCCUCGAUUUGUCGAAUCAUUUCUUCCCAUUUUAAUCUCUACUGCCGAAUCUUUUUUUUUUCCGCCUCAGCUUCACUUUUUUUUUGUUUAAAACAAACAACCAGCCCGAAUUCCCUGCUAUUCGAGACUCCUCGAGACCGGAGUCCUUUGACGUGACUCCCGGCGACCGUUAUUAAAGCCUGGAGGUUCAUAACUGGAUGGUUCGGCGUUUCGUCAGGCGUUGUUUCGAAUCCUAAUAACCUGUCCCUUGAAUCGGACGUGACCGAGGGGAGACAAACUUCGGACUCUCCUCCAAUGCACGCUUCACGUCAGGCCAAUGCCAAAGACCCGCCCGCUGGCCGGCAGGGGAUGGCAGGGGGCGGGGGGUUCUCCUGGGGUCCAGCCUCCUCCCUCGCUCAGAAAUUGGAAGGCUCCGGAGUCGUGGCUCACAUUUCCACUAAUCCUCCUCAGGAGACAGGAUUUGAGCGCGUGCCUCCGGAGCAAAGCCAGGGAAGCCCCGCCGAGCAGCGGGAAGAGCCUGCGGGCGGCCUCGCUCCGCGACCAAAGCUUCGCUCAAGGAGUCCGACAAACUCCCCGUCGAGGCCCCUUCAAUUCGGCGCCCGGCCGACUCCGCGCAGCUCUCCCCGGACGCGCGUUUUAUGGCGCUAGGACCCAGGCAGAGAGGAGCGAGUUCCGAAUGAGGCUGCGGCGGCCGUGUGAAAGUGAAUGGCUGGGGUGCGUCUGGAAAGCGGCCACGGAGCAAGGCGCGUUAGGAUCCCCGGCGGGCUGGGCAACGGCGCGUCCAGCGGCGGCAGCAGCCCCUAGGGGGUCUCUCUCCACCUGCCCUGCGGCCGCAGCGCUGAGGAUGUAUAAAAUGAAGGAAGGACAAGAACAUCCACUGGAAAAGAGGAAAGCCACCAUAUGAAGCAUCAUACUGAGAAGUGAAACAUCUUCAAAGAAAAAACCAGAAAGUCCAGUUGCCUCCUGUGAAAAAGCACCUUUGGGUUUGGGACAACCAUGACCUGGAUGACUGAGACUCUCCAUAAACAUUAAGAGAAAGGAAUUUUAAUUUUAAGGAAUAUUGUCUCGAUAAAAGAGAAAUCAGACAUUUUCAAGAACGAGGCCUACGAAACAGCCAAGUGUGCACCAUUUAUCAUUCUUGUAGUCAGAGAAAGCCACAAAUGAACACAUUCAGAGUCUGUACAAGAUAUUCCAAAGGACAAAACAUUCACCCAAACCAUCAUUCUUCAACCUGAAACGCAUUUCACUCCAUGCCAAAAUUGCUGGCUUAUUGCAUGCUUAUUACAGAACCAACCUGAGAACAUAAAGUGAACUGAUAGAAAAACAGGAGGAACAGAAAAUGUGGGUAUUUGCCAGUCAACAAACUGACGUGGCCUUUGUUGAAAUUAUCUGAGCUUGCUUCAUGACUUCUAAAAAGAACUUCCAAGACUUGCGUCUUCAUUUUAUAUAGUGAGGGAGGAAAACACCUGGUUUUUCCAUAAAUGUCUUGGCAAACCAGACAUUUAUAACUGUAUUCUUUAUCCUCAUUACUCUGAGUAUGACAGAAUAAUUUAAACAACCUCCUUUAUUCCAUAGUGCAGUGGUACAGCACAUGUGUUGUGAAUGCAGAAGGCUGAAAUUUCUAUCUCGGCCAUCUCCAGUUGAGGGAGGGGGAAAUCACAGAAGAAGUGAUGCAAAAGAGCUCUCCCCAGAAUAUGGGAUUGUUAUCAGUCAGAGUAGAUCAUAUGGGUUAGAGAUGGAUAAUGUUCUGAACAGUUUAAGAAAGCUGCCUUCCUUGUUUGUCUCCUGGAAAAUGUCUCUGGCAGUAGCUGGCAGUUCAAGUGAGUCUAAAACGCUUACAUGAAAGCCUCAUCUUCCAACUGGCAGACAAAGAAAAGAGUGAAUUAGAAACAGUUGCAAAGCACAGAUUUACAUCUGCCAUCAUAGGAAGGAGAGUGUGGUUGGAAAGCCAGUCCUGGGUUGGCUGCCUCCAGCUCAGGUCCACUUGCCUAUUAGUCUUACCAAUUGUAUUAGAAUCAUUUAUUUAAAAUGAAUUUGGAAUUAUGGUCCUUGAUCACAUCUGGUUUCAACCAUACAGCAAUUACAUGUUCCAGAAAGAGACAAGGAACAAAGGAAGAAAUCCAAGCAGCUACUUCAUGGCUGAAAUCCAUUCCAAGAACCCAUCAGAUCCAAGGAGGAAGCUCAAGUGCCAAUAUUAAAGAUGCCCUACUCUUGGAUGAAGUUGUGAUGGGAGCUCCAUCAACUUAACUUUAAUGUAAUAUUAUAAUGAUUUGAAUGGAUUGCAAGUUAAUGUAUUAAUUUACUGAAAUCUUCUUACAGUGGUUUUUUUAUUGGUGAUAAAUGAUAAAUGAUGAUAGUGGAUAUUUUAAGUGUUCUAGGUUAUUGUGAAAAUACUGGUCCUCUGAAUAGGGCCAUGUUCAUUAACAUGUUUUAGAGAAUACUAUGUUCUUAUAGGAGUGUAUGCACUAAUCUUCCCAAUCUGAUGGCCUCUGUAUAGCAAAGUAGAACUGCCAGCAGUUCAUCAAGUUAAAGAAUUUUGCAAUUCUGGAACUGUUAGUAUCAACAUAUCUAGAGGCCAAGGGUUUAGGAAGACUGGCAUAAACCAAGGAAACUUUGCAUUCAGGAGCUGCUGUGCCUGAAUGCAAACCCAAAGGUUUCUGCUGUAUAUCAUUCUGUAUAAUUUACGUAAUUCUAUUAUGAAGGGAGGGUAAAGGCCUUCUCUGUUACUACCCUUCCCUCUCAUGUGGAACCACGUUCCCCCUACUGUUUGGGUUCUCCCAACUUUUUUGAAAUUUUGGAAGGCCAUCAAGACUUAUCAGGAAAACUUUAAGGGAUGAAAGAAAUGCUUGUUUAUAUGGGAGAUUCUUUUUGGAGCACAUUAGAAUGUUAGUUAUUAAUAUUAUUACUCUGUAUUGUUUUGAACUUUUCAGCUACAACUAAAGUGCAAAGAAGUUUAAAUAAGCAUAUGAAAAAUUAACUUGCCCAUGGAUCAGGGUUUCAGUCUCAAAUUUAAGGAACAUAUCCUUCUGGUGGAUUUCCUUAUUCUUUUUUUUUUUUUUUUGUUUACAUUUAUACCCCGCCCUUCUCCAAAGACUCAGGGCGGC
Molecule: RNA transcript, 4652 nt
Organism: Ahaetulla prasina
Lineage: Eukaryota; Metazoa; Chordata; Lepidosauria; Squamata; Colubridae
Gene: NGF
Gene name: nerve growth factor
Exons: 4
Source: RefSeq, a predicted model, not a curated record